RNAcentral lists this long non-coding RNA (1179 nucleotides) under Anser brachyrhynchus (Pink-footed goose). RNAcentral's name for it is "lncRNA (ENSABRG00000006310.1)". Lineage: Eukaryota; Metazoa; Chordata; Aves; Anseriformes; Anatidae. The record is from RNAcentral.
AAAAAAAAAAAAAAGCUAAAAAAAGCCUAAACAGCAGGUAAGUUCCCUGCAUUUGCAAGCACACAGCUAUUUGUUGAGAAGCUCUCAGGCCUCUUGCUUUCAACUUCACUAGCUCCAAACAGCUCUUCAAAGGUCCAAAAUUUUUUUUUUCUUUUUUUUUUUUUUUUCCCAGAUGCCAGCCUGAAGCUAUACUGCAAUAGUUCGCAGAGACUUCACUACUCUGCUUUUGGGGAUGCAGCUAAAAUAAGAUACAGCUAAAAUAAGCGGCAGUGCCAGAGUGCAGACUGAAGAACGAUACCACUUCCUUUAUCGAAUGAGUCAACACACAACCAUUACAGGUUUGUUUGUUUGUUUCUCCACACUGCACAUCUUGAAAGACUAGCUGACAUCUCCACUAUUAAGGGCUCACCCACUUGCCAAGUUGUAAAGAAAGCCACUAAGAAAGCAAUAUAAAUCAUAACUGGAUGUUGAAACACAAAAUUGAAGGCAGGACCAUGGAAGCAGAGUAUCUGGGACAGCAGAAGGGAACUUGAAUGACACGCAGCCAUUUUUCAGUCCCCAAACUGUCAACGUGGCAAGUAUUGCAUUUCAUUUUAAACAAGAAGCGCUAUCUCCUUGACUCUCGGGAAUGACACAAUUAUUUACCUUAAUACUUUCACUUUUAAGGCAACUGUUCUUUAGAUGAAAAAUUGUGCUUGGAUGUGGACUAUGCAGGAGUAAAUAACAGCAGACAGAAAAAAUAUUAAAAGAUUUCUCCUAAAAAAUCAAACCAUUUCUGGAAGCAGGUGUUUUUGGCUUUUUGGUUUUACUUUUUCGUUGUAUUUGAUCUGUUUGAUAGCUUUUACAUAAGGCACAUAAAACAGGCAACAGCAAAACCACCGGUGUCUGUAUGUAGGCAGCUUUCCACUACCAGUUCACAAGCACUGUACAUUGCAGGCAGUUUUUUAGUGUGAAUUAAGCACUAACAGAGUAAGUAACUUGGGAAGAGAUUGCAAGCUAGAGAGGGAAAAAGUCUUCAGUCACUCUUAAAAUGUAAACUGUCAAAAUCCAGCACCGCAUGAGCGCAGAGCUCACGAGUACUAAUGCAUUAGUUUUUCCAGAAAGAGUUAAAAGAUAGAUAAAGUAUUGAGAUAAAACAUUUCUGUGUUUAUUGAAUAAAAAAGCAAGAGCCGAUUUACA